AGUGAACGCUGGCGGUAGGCCUAACACAUGCAAGUCGAACGGCAGCACAGUAAGAGCUUGCUCUUACGGGUGGCGAGUGGCGGACGGGUGAGGAAUACAUCGGAAUCUACUUUUUCGUGGGGGAUAACGUAGGGAAACUUACGCUAAUACCGCAUACGACCUACGGGUGAAAGCAGGGGAUCUUCGGACCUUGCGCGAUUGAAUUAGCCGAUGUCGGAUUGGCUAGUUGGCGGGGUAAAGGCCCACCAAGUCGGCGAUCCGUAGCCGGUCUGAGUGGAUGAUCGGCCACACUGGAACUGGAACACGGUCAUGGCUCCUACGGGAGGCAGCAGUGUGGAAUAUUGGACAAUAGGCGCGAGCCUGGUCCAGCCAUACCACGUGGGUGAAGAAGGCCUUCGGGUUGUAAAGCCCUUUUGUUGGGAAAGAAAAGCAGCAGGUUAAUACCCCGCUGUCCUGACGGUACCCAAAGAAUAAGCACCGGCUAACUUCGUG
Molecule: ribosomal RNA, 492 nt
Filed under: uncultured bacterium
Lineage: Bacteria
Description: partial 16S ribosomal RNA
Rfam family: Bacterial small subunit ribosomal RNA
Source: RNAcentral